UCCGGCUUAUCACCGGCAGUUUCGCUAAAGUGCCCAGCCCAACCUGAUGGCAACUAGCGAUAAGGGUUGCGCUCGUUGCGGGACUUAACCCAACAUCUCACGACACGAGCUGACGACAGCCAUGCAGCACCUGUGCUCUCACCGGCCGAACCGAAGUAGUUUGUCUCCAAACCACGCGUGAGGCAUGUCAAGGGCUGGUAAGGUUCUGCGCGUUGCUUCGAAUUAAACCACAUACUCCACCGCUUGUGCGAGUCCCCGUCAAUUCCUUUGAGUUUUAAUCUUGCGACCGUACUCCCCAGGCGGCAUGCUUAAUGCGUUUGCGACGACACUGAUCCUGUUACAGACCAACAUCUAGCAUGCAUCGUUUAGGGCGUGGACUAC
This 381-nucleotide unclassified non-coding RNA is filed under the name uncultured Alphaproteobacteria bacterium. Its description in RNAcentral is "contains 16S-23S intergenic spacer region". Lineage: Bacteria; Pseudomonadati; Pseudomonadota; Alphaproteobacteria. The record is from RNAcentral.